This 482-nucleotide ribosomal RNA is filed under the name uncultured Alphaproteobacteria bacterium. Its description in RNAcentral is "bacterial SSU rRNA". It matches the Rfam family "Bacterial small subunit ribosomal RNA", at positions 9 to 522 of the family's 1533-position model. The record is from RNAcentral. Lineage: Bacteria; Pseudomonadati; Pseudomonadota; Alphaproteobacteria.
GAGUUUGAUCCUGGCUCAGAACGAACGCUGGCGGCAUGCUUAACACAUGCAAGUUGAACGCAGGAUAGGACUUCGGUUCUAUUGCUGAGUAGCAAACGGGUGAGUAACGCGUGGGAAUCUACCUUUUUGUGGGGGAUAACUGAGGGAAACUUCAGCUAAUACCGCAUAAGCUCUACGGAGGAAAGGCUUCGGCCGCAAGAAGAGGAGCCCGCGUCAGAUUAGGUAGUUGGUAGGGUAAAAGCCUACCAAGCCAAUGAUCUGUAGCUGGUCUGAGAGGAUGAUCAGCCACACUGGGACUGAGACACGGCCCAGACUCCUACGGGAGGCAGCAGUGGGGAAUAUUGGACAAUGGGCGAAAGCCUGAUCCAGCAAUGCCGCGUGAGUGAUGAAGGCCUUCGGGUCGUAAAGCUCUUUUACCAGGGAUGAUAAUGACAGUACCUGGAGAAUAAGCUCCGGCUAACUCCGUGCCAGCAGCCGCGGUA